This is a long non-coding RNA of Corapipo altera (White-ruffed manakin), 230 nucleotides long. RefSeq lists it as uncharacterized. The record is from RefSeq and is a predicted model, not a curated record. Lineage: Eukaryota; Metazoa; Chordata; Aves; Passeriformes; Pipridae. The transcript has 2 exons.
UCAAAACAUGAACUUGAGGGUUCUGAAUUGUUAAAAAUAGUGACCACAAGAGCUUAUUUUCUAGAUAAUUUUCUCUGUAUUUGAAUAUAUUCCACUUGCCAUUUGGAGAGGGAAAAAUGCAAGAGCAGAAGCACUUCUGAACCUUGGUCCACAUUAUUGAAGACCACUGUUGUGAAAGCAACUGUAAAGAGAUCAUUUAAAGUCAAGCAGUGAUACUGCUCACCAUGUCA